CAUUAGCAUGAUGUUCUAACACUUGUAAAUGAAUAUAGCUCUUGCCUAAUCUGUCAUUUUAAUGCCAUAUAGAUUUUAUUUCACUCGAUGUUGUACCAGAUUCUCAAUAAUAAUAAUCAACUGCUUUGUUGUUCUCUUGCAGAAAUUAAAUUUCUGCAGUGAGUGUGCAACUAAUAAAAGAUGUUGCUUGAGGAAACAAAAAAUAAAUAUGAUGAAUCAUAAAAGUUGGGGGAGGGAGAGGGGAACUUGCUCCUAGAUGAAAGACAAUUACUGAACCAGUGGUGAAUAUGUCUGAUUCUCAUCUUGUCAACAGCUUAAUAACCUUCACAAAGUCUUUAGCCAUGGUACUUAUGUCUGAGCAUUAACCUUGUGGACUUGGUGUUUUCCACAAUUUCAUUUAGAAGCAUUAAAAUAAAAGGUGAGGUAGUAAAAUAGCUAUUCUCUUUGCUCUGCAUCCUGGAUAAGUUUGCUCAUUGUUGCCAUUUUGCACUCACACAUACCUUUUAUCUUUUCCCCUGUCAUAAGCCAUCCAGAAGAGCAGCAUUAAAGGCAGCGGUGUGGGACUUGGAGUAUUGGCAAAGACUGUAAAGUGGAAAAUAAACAGUGUGUCUAUCACUAUGCUACAAGAACACAACACUUGUAGCAGUGAAAUGACAGUCAGUGGCAAGCAACUAAUUGGUCACCAGCUUUGGAGGAAAUAUAUUUUUCUAGACCUCUGUCAUUUAACAUAUUCUUUAAACUCUGUGAAAAUAGAAACUACCAGGUUGAAGUGUUGGCUCUAACCUCCAAAGGAAAGAAAAUGGAUAGUUAAGGCUUCAAGGCUGAGCAAGCAUUUGGAAACUGAGUAAUUGGAGGCAACUACUGCUAGACAAUGAUUUGGUUUCCUGACAUAUAAUGAAUUCACCCCAUUGUGCACAGGUAGUGGGUGGGUUCAACACCAGAUGUAUGAUUAAUGUUGCAUAUCAGAUAGCUUCCACCUGAAUGUGAAUUCAGUGCGAUGACUGAGUUUUCAUUAGAGCCAUCCCUUCUUCCUUUUUUGUCUGUCUCGGAAAUGUAGUCAGUGACAAGCUGCACAAAAGCAAAAGGAAACAUGUUCAUCUAGUAAGAGGAGAAAGGAGCCCGAGAACAUAAAUGUUAACCAAGAAAGAGAAAGUCAGUGUGAGGUAGCAGACAUUUACAGGGCUGUAUUACAAAUGUAGUGUCAUAUUAAAUUUAAAAAAUACUAGAAGUAAAGACCUUAACACAUAGUCAAAUUUACUUAAGCAUUUAUAUCUCUGUCCUAAAUCUGGACAUAUUGUAUGGGGAAAAGAAGGAAUAAAAGCACCCAAAUAAACAUUUUAUUAUUUAAAUGUGUAUCACAUACAGUGUUCUCAUUCAUGUAACUUUGCUGAAUGAUAACUUAGCAUGCACAAAGAGACUUUGAUCUGGAAAAAUACAUUUUAAGAGGAAUAACUGAUUGAUCAUCUUAAUCCACAAAGGCAUAAAGUCCAAGAAUUGUGAGAUAGUUUAAAAUUCUGUAGAUGAAUAGCUUUAUAUAACUCUGUGUGAAAUAUUGGUAGACCUUGUAUAUGCUUGUAAUUGUUGGAUAUAAGGGUCCAAAAAUCCUUUGGAAUUGUACCCCUUAUUGAGUAUGGAUGGUAUGUAUUUUAGUGAGGACAGAAGCUGGCUUCACUCAGAUUCCCAAAGAGUUGCAAUAUCAGAUGGAAGCUGAAAAUCACUUAAUUGUGUAAACUGAAGAAAAAGAAAUAAAAUAGUGAUUUUUAAAGAAAUCUAGGACCUACUUAUGCAUGAAAGAUCUAAAUAGGGAAGGAUUGAUUAAAAGCAGCUCUUAAAGUUGAUUGUUUUCAAUACAUGCUUUUAGUCACAACAAAAAUCAUCUUAGAAUUUCAUCCAUGUGAUUUCAUUUGCAUUUUUAAAAACAAAAAUAUAACCUAAAAAUAUACCCUGAGUUUAUAUCUUUCUAUUACUACUCUGUGUGUAUUACUGGGUUCUCUUUGCUGCUGCUCCUCCUCCUCCUCCUCCUCCUCCUCCUCUUCCUUCUUCCUUUUCCUCUUCCUCCAUAUUUUCUUUUUUUUUUUUGGCCCUUUUUCCUUUUCAGAAGAAAUAACAUAUGAUUUUCUAAGGAACCACACUGACUGAUAUUUAUGGUAACACAAGAACAUGCCACUGACUGUGGCAUGCAGGGAACAUGAGUGACUGACCUGGGUCUCAGCUGCUGCCUUGGCAAUCCAUCCUGACAUUUUGACAUUGAAGAAGAACCUGAAGUCACACAGUGCCAGAUCCAGCGAAAAAGGUGAAUGAGGACACACCACAAUAUUUUCAUUUGACAGAAAUUUCCAUAAACAUUAGAAAUGGAUUCAGGACUUCGAGGCAGCCAUGAAAAGACACUUUGGAAAGAAGAUUUCUAGAACUGCUUCAGAAAUUUGGGUCAUGGACCAAGGUCAACAUUGUGCCUGUGGUUUGGAUGUGGCUAUCGGCUCUGACAGGAUGACACAGCCCGCAUGAAGAUCCUAAUCGUUUUCAGAAGAACAUCUUUGUACACUUGAAAACUGGAGGUAGUGAUGCAUCGGCUCAAGAGACCUCUUUAUUGAGCCUCCGGGCACUUGUUGGUCUGUGUGCCCCGUGGACCAAUUUUGCAGCACUGUCCGAAAGAUGGCCCUCACCUCAUGGCUUCUACUCUGGGAGACGGAAAGCUACUGGAGUGUCUAUACAAGGUGCCAUUUUACAGAGAUUAAGUUGGAGAUUAUCCCACACAGAUGUUGGAAUUACUCUAUUAUGAUUUCAAAGAAAAAUUUCUUCUCUAAACAUUCUUAUUCCAAGGGAAACUGCUCACCAAGGAAGUCAAAAGGAAAGAAAGAAGCAGACUGGGUCUGAGGCUCCCAGAGGUAUCGAACUCGGAACCUUGAGUUUGUGAGGCAGGCA
Long non-coding RNA from Fukomys damarensis (Damara mole-rat), 2922 nucleotides. RefSeq lists it as uncharacterized. The record is from RefSeq and is a predicted model, not a curated record. NCBI's taxonomy places the organism in Eukaryota, Metazoa, Chordata, Mammalia, Rodentia, Bathyergidae. The transcript has 7 exons.